Molecule: transfer RNA, 73 nt
Filed under: Sillago sihama (northern whiting)
Lineage: Eukaryota; Metazoa; Chordata; Actinopteri; Sillaginidae
Also listed under: 1 other name
Description: tRNA-Val
Rfam family: tRNA
About the family: Transfer RNA (tRNA) molecules are approximately 80 nucleotides in length.
Source: RNAcentral
CAGGGUAUAGCUAAACUAGGCAAAGCAUCCCCCUUACAAUGAGAAGACAUCCGUGCAACCCGGAUUACCCUGA